GACGAACGCUGGCGGCGUGCUUAACACAUGCAAGUCGAACGGAAAGGCCCUGCUUUUGUGGGGUGCUCGAGUGGCGAACGGGUGAGUAACACGUGAGUAACCUGCCCUUGACUUUGGGAUAACUUCAGGAAACUGGGGCUAAUACCGGAUAGGAGCUCCUGCUGCAUGGUGGGGGUUGGAAAGUUUCGGCGGUUGGGAAUGGACUCGCGGCUUAUCAGCUUGUUGGGUGGGUAGUGGCUUACCAAGGCUUUGACGGGUAGCAGGCCUGAGAGGGUGACCGGCCACACUGGGACUGAGCUACGGCACAGACUACUACGGGAGGCAGCAGUGGGGAAUAUUGCACAAUGGGCUGAAGCCUGAUGCAGUACCGCCGCGUGCGGGAUGACGGCCUUCGGGUUGUAAACCGCUGUCGCCUGUGACGAAGCGUGAGUGACGGUAAUGGGUAAAGAAGCACCGGCUAACUACGUG
RNAcentral lists this ribosomal RNA (468 nucleotides) under uncultured bacterium. RNAcentral describes it as "partial 16S ribosomal RNA". It matches the Rfam family "Bacterial small subunit ribosomal RNA", at positions 28 to 507 of the family's 1533-position model. The record is from RNAcentral.